AAAGAUUUCUUCGGAAUGAAUUUGAUUAAGUUUAGUGGCGGACGGGUGAGUAACGCGUGAGUAACCUGCCUCUAAGAGGGGAAUAACAUUCUGAAAAGAAUGCUAAUACCGCAUAACAUAUAUUUAUCGCAUGGUAGAUAUAUCAAAGAUUUAUCGCUUAGAGAUGGACUCGCGUCCGAUUAGUUAGUUGGUGAGGUAACGGCUCACCAAGACUGCGAUCGGUAGCCGGACUGAGAGGUUGAACGGCCACAUUGGGACUGAGACACGGCCCAGACUCCUACGGGAGGCAGCAGUGGGGGAUAUUGCGCAAUGGGGGAAACCCUGACGCAGCAACGCCGCGUGAAGGAUGAAGGUCUUCGGAUUGUAAACUUCUUUUAUUAAGGACGAAGAAAGUGACGGUACUUAAUGAAUAAGCUCCGGCUAACUACGUGCCAGCAGCCGCGGUAAUACGUAGGGAGCAAGCGUUGUCCGGAUUUACUGGGUGUAAAGGGUGCGUAGGCGGCUUUGCAAGUCAGAUGUGAAAUCUAUGGGCUCAACCCAUAGCC
RNAcentral lists this ribosomal RNA (545 nucleotides) under uncultured bacterium. RNAcentral's name for it is "bacterial SSU rRNA". It matches the Rfam family "Bacterial small subunit ribosomal RNA", at positions 69 to 621 of the family's 1533-position model. The record is from RNAcentral.